RNAcentral lists this ribosomal RNA (142 nucleotides) under Escherichia coli E1140. RNAcentral's name for it is "partial 16S ribosomal RNA". It matches the Rfam family "Bacterial small subunit ribosomal RNA", at positions 1391 to 1533 of the family's 1533-position model. The record is from RNAcentral. Lineage: Bacteria; Pseudomonadati; Pseudomonadota; Gammaproteobacteria; Enterobacterales; Enterobacteriaceae.
CGCCCGUCACACCAUGGGAGUGGGUUGCAAAAGAAGUAGGUAGCUUAACCUUCGGGAGGGCGCUUACCACUUUGUGAUUCAUGACUGGGUGAAGUCGUAACAAGGUAACCGUAGGGGAACCUGCGGUUGGAUCACCUCCUUA